RNAcentral lists this ribosomal RNA (603 nucleotides) under uncultured archaeon. RNAcentral describes it as "bacterial SSU rRNA". It matches the Rfam family "Archaeal small subunit ribosomal RNA", at positions 397 to 995 of the family's 1478-position model. The record is from RNAcentral.
AAAAAGGAGUCUUUUGCUUGUCCUAAAAGCACAGGUGAAUAAGGGGUGGGCAAGUCUGGUGUCAGCCGCCGCGGUAAUACCAGCACCUCGAGUGGUCAGGACGUUUAUUGGGCCUAAAGCAUCCGUAGCCGGCUCUGCAAGUCUUCGGUUAAAUCCACCUGCUCAACAGAUGGGCCGCUGGAGAUACUACAGAGCUAGGGAGUGGGAGAGGCAGACGGUAUUCAGUGGGUAGGGGUAAAAUCCUCUGAUCCAUUGAGGACCACCAGUGGCGAAGGCGGUCUGCCAGAACACGUUCGACGGUGAGGGAUGAAAGCUGGGGGAGCAAACCGGAUUAGAUACCCGGGUAGUCCCAGCUGUAAACGAUGCAAACUCGGUGAUGCAUUGGCUUAUGGCCAAUGCAGUGCCGCAGGGAAGCCGUUAAGUUUGCCGCCUGGGAAGUACGGACGCAAGUCUGAAACUUAAANGGAAUUGGCGGGGGAGCACCACAAGGGGUGAAGCCUGCGGUUCAAUUGGAGUCAACGNCCAGGAAUCUUACCCGGGGAGACAGCAGAAUGAAGGUCAAGCUGAAAGACUUUAACCCAGACAAGCUGAGAGGAGGUGCAU